RNAcentral lists this ribosomal RNA (468 nucleotides) under uncultured bacterium. RNAcentral describes it as "partial 16S ribosomal RNA". It matches the Rfam family "Bacterial small subunit ribosomal RNA", at positions 28 to 507 of the family's 1533-position model. The record is from RNAcentral.
GACGAACGCUGGCGGCGUGCUUAACACAUGCAAGUCGAACGGAAAGGCCCUGCUUUUGUUGGGUGCUCGAGUGGCGAACGGGUGAGUAACACGUGAGUAACCUGCCCUUGACUUUGGGAUAACUUCAGGAAACUGUGGCUAAUACCGGAUAGGAGCUCCUGCUGCAUGGUGUGGGUUGGAAAGUUUCGGCGGUUGGGGAUGGACUCGCGGCUUAUCAGCUUGUUGGUGGGGUAGUGGCUUACCAAGGCUUUGACGGGUAGCCGGCCUGAGAGGGUGACCGGCCACAUUGGGACUGAGAUACGGCCCAGACUCCUACGGGAGGCAGCAGUGGGGAAUAUUGCACAAUGGGCGGAAGCCUGAUGCAGCAACGCCGCGUGCGGGAUGACGGCCUUCGGGUUGUAAACCGCUUUCGCCUGUGACGAAGCGUGAGUGACGGUAAUGGGUAAAGAAGCACCGGCUAACUACGUG